GACGAACCUCACAAACGUUAUUCGGAUUUACUGGGCUUAAAGGGUGCGUAGGCGGCGUGGAAAGUUGGGUGUGAAAUCCCUCGGCUUAACCGAGGAACUGCGCCCAAAACUGCCAUGCUCGAGGGAGACAGAGGUGAGCGGAACUUAGGGUGGAGCGGUGAAAUGCGUUGAUAUCCUAAGGAACACCAGUAGCGAAAGCGGCUCACUGGGUCUCUUCUGACGCUGAGGCACGAAAGCUAGGGUAGCGAACGGG
Molecule: ribosomal RNA, 253 nt
Filed under: uncultured bacterium
Lineage: Bacteria
Description: partial 16S ribosomal RNA
Rfam family: Bacterial small subunit ribosomal RNA
Source: RNAcentral